AUUGAACGCUGGCGGCAGGCCUAACACAUGCAAGUCGAACGGUAACAGGAAACAGCUUGCUGUUUCGCUGACGAGUGGCGGACGGGUGAGUAAUGUCUGGGAAACUGCCUGAUGGAGGGGGAUAACUACUGGAAACGGUAGCUAAUACCGCAUAACGUCGCAAGACCAAAGAGGGGGACCCUCGGGCCUCUUGCCAUCGGAUGUGCCCAGAUGGGAUUAGCUUGUUGGUGGGGUAACGGCUCACCAAGGCGACGAUCCCUAGCUGGUCUGAGAGGAUGACCAGCCACACUGGAACUGAGACACGGUCCAGACUCCUACGGGAGGCAGCAGUGGGGAAUAUUGCACAAUGGGCGCAAGCCUGAUGCAGCCAUGCCGCGUGUAUGAAGAAGGCCUUCGGGUUGCAAAGUACUUUCAGCGGGGAGGAAGGGAGUAAAGUUAAUACCUUGGCUCAUUGACGUUACCCGCAGAAGAAGCACCGGCUAACUCCGUG
Molecule: ribosomal RNA, 490 nt
Filed under: uncultured bacterium
Lineage: Bacteria
Description: partial 16S ribosomal RNA
Rfam family: Bacterial small subunit ribosomal RNA
Source: RNAcentral